Molecule: ribosomal RNA, 671 nt
Filed under: Miriquidica complanata
Lineage: Eukaryota; Fungi; Ascomycota; Lecanoromycetes; Lecanorales; Lecanoraceae
Description: eukaryotic LSU rRNA
Rfam family: Eukaryotic large subunit ribosomal RNA
Source: RNAcentral
ACAGGGCGUCAGAGAGGGUGAGAAUCCCGUACGGGACCGGCGGCCAACCCCAUGUGAAACCCCUUCGACGAGUCGAGUUGUUUGGGAAUGCAGCUCAAAUUGGGUGGUAAAUUUCAUCUAAAGCUAAAUACCGGCCAGAGACCGAUAGCGCACAAGUAGAGUGAUCGAAAGAUGAAAAGCACUUUGGAAAGAGAGUCAAAAAGUACGUGAAAUUGUUGAAAGGGAAGCGCUUGCAACCAGACCUGUCCACCGGCGAUCAGCCUCCGUUCUCGGGGGUGCACUCGUCGGCGAUCAGGCCAGCAUCGGUCUGGGCGGUCGGAUAAAGGCCUUGGGAAUGUAGCUCCCUCCGGGGAGUCUUAGAGCCCUCGGUGUAAUGCGGCCAGCUCGGACCGAGGAUCGCGCUUCGGCUAGGAUGCUGGCGUAAUGGUUGUAAGCGACCCGUCUUGAAACACGGACCAAGGAGUCUAACAUCUAUGCAAGUGUUUGGGUGUCAAACCCAUACGCGUAAUGAAAGUGAACGGAGGUGAGAACCCUUUAGGGUGCAUUAUCGACCGAUCCAGAUGUCUUCGGAUGGAUUUGAGUACGAGCAUAGCUGUUGGGACCCGAAAGAUGGUGAACUAUGCCUGAAUAGGGUGAAGCCAGAGGAAACUCUGGUGGAGGCUCGCAGCGGU